This 66-nucleotide transfer RNA is filed under the name Calyptraea chinensis. RNAcentral describes it as "tRNA-Val". Lineage: Eukaryota; Metazoa; Mollusca; Gastropoda; Littorinimorpha; Calyptraeidae. The record is from RNAcentral.
AAGAAUAUAAUAUAUAAUAAUGUGUUUCAUUUACAUUGAAAAAAAACUCUUAAUGAGUUGUUCUUA